RNAcentral lists this small RNA (18 nucleotides) under Bombyx mori (domestic silkworm). Its description in RNAcentral is "ovarian small RNA-16186". The record is from RNAcentral. Lineage: Eukaryota; Metazoa; Arthropoda; Insecta; Lepidoptera; Bombycidae.
GAUUCAGGUAAGUACAGA